This 468-nucleotide ribosomal RNA is filed under the name uncultured bacterium. RNAcentral's name for it is "partial 16S ribosomal RNA". It matches the Rfam family "Bacterial small subunit ribosomal RNA", at positions 28 to 507 of the family's 1533-position model. The record is from RNAcentral.
GACGAACGCUGGCGGCGGGCUUAACACAUGCAAGUCGAACGGAAAGGCCCUGCUUUUGUGGGGUGCUCGAGUGGCGAACGGGUGAGUAACACGUGAGUAACCUGCCCUUGACUUUGGGAUAACUUCAGGAAACUGGGGCUAAUACCGGAUAGGAGCUCCUGCUGCAUGGUGGGGGUUGGAAAGUUUCGGCGGUUGGGGAUGGACUCGCGGCUUAUCAGCUUGUUGGUGGGGUAGUGGCUUACCAAGGCUUUGACGGGUAGCCGGCCUGAGAGGGUGACCGGCCACAUUGGGACUGAGAUACGGACCAGACUCCUACGGGAGGCAGCAGUCGGGAAUAUUGCACAAUGGGCGGACGCCUGAUGCAGCAACGCCGCGUGCGGGAUGACGGCCUUCGGGUUGUAAACCGCUUUCGCCUGUGACGAAGCGUGAGUGACGGUAAUGGGUAAAGAAGCACCGGCUAACUACGUG